UAAGACGAGCCACACGAACGUUAUUCGGAUUUACUGGGCUUAAAGGGUGCGUAGGCGGCGCGGAAAGUUGGGUGUGAAAUCCCUCGGCUCAACCGAGGAACUGCGCCCAAAACUACCGUGCUCGAGGGAGAUAGAGGUGAGCGGAACUUAGGGUGGAGCGGUGAAAUGCGUUGAUAUCCUAAGGAACACCGGUGGCGAAAGCGGCUCACUGGAUCUCUUCUGACGCUGAUGCACGAAAGCUAGGGUAGCGAACGGGAUUAGAUACCCCGGUAGUCCUAGCCGUAAACGAUGAGCACUGGACUGAAGGGUCCUCCAUAGCCUUUCGGUCGAAGCGAAAGUGUUAAGUGCUCCGCCUGGGGAGUAUGGUCGCAAGGCUG
Molecule: ribosomal RNA, 377 nt
Filed under: uncultured bacterium
Lineage: Bacteria
Description: bacterial SSU rRNA
Rfam family: Bacterial small subunit ribosomal RNA
Source: RNAcentral